CUAAGGGAUCCUGUGGGGAUGCGUUUGCAAGCAGACCUCCCCCCAGUUCAUUACCGACUGAUUUGACACCUUUUGCUUGUGGGCCUAGUUUCCACUUCUUUGCAGUCUCUCCAUUCUAGGCACAUCCACACCCACCUUUGGUCAGAACACCCCUGGGGUAGGUGCAUCAGGCAGCAGCCUCUCCUCUGUGGUGUCCUCAGCACCUGCCCAGGGCUUUGCUGGACCUGGAACCUUUGGGAGUGGUCCCUUCCCCUCUGGGAAAAAAACAGGCUAAUAAGCAGAAGAAAGAUGUGACAUCACUGGCAGUCAGGUGCCGCUGAGGAGCCAUUUCUAGCAGAAGUGCAAAUUAAAACCACACUAAGGUAUCACCUCACACCAGUCAGGAUGGCCACUAUCUGAAGACAAGAAAUAACAAAUGCUGCUGAGGAUGUGGAGAAAGGAGAACCCUCCUACACUUUGGUGGGAAUGUAAAUUGGCACAGUUGCUGUGGAACACAGUAUGAAGGUUCCUCAAAAAACUAAAAAUAGAAAUACCAUUUGACCCAGUAAUUUACCCCCCCAAAAAAAACAAAAUCCCUGAUUUGGAAAGACAUAUGCACCCCUGUUUAUUGCUGCACUAUUUGCAAUAACUAAGGUAUGGAAGCAACCUAAGUGUCCAUCAAUAAAAUAAAAUAUAGAUAAAUUUAAAUAGACUAAAGGAUAGAUAAAUUUAUCUAAAGGAUAACGAAGAUGUGGUACAUAUACAUAAUGGAAUAUUAUUCAGCCAUAGAAAGAAAAGAAAUACUGCCAUUUCCAACAACAUGGAUGGAUCUAGAAGGUAUUAUGCUCAGGGAAACAAGCCAGACAAAGACAAAUAUUGUAUGUGUUCACUUAUUUGUGGAAUAUAAAAACAAAGCAAAACAGAAGGAAUAAAACAGCAGUAGACUCAGACACUGAGAAGUGACUAAUGGUUACCAAGCUGGUGGGGAAAGAGGCUGAGGGGGAUAAAAGGAUACAAUAAUUCACAAUCACAGUAUAAUUUGGUCAGAAUAGUAAAGCAUGGAGAACAUAGUCAAUGAUUCUGUAACAUUUUUCUAAGUUGAUCAACAGUAAUCACACUAGAGGGGGUAAGGAUUUAAUUAUAUGCAUAACUGUGGAACAACUGUGUUAUAUAUUUGAAACUAAAAGACUGUAUAUCAAUGAUACUUCAAUU
Long non-coding RNA from Manis pentadactyla (Chinese pangolin), 1191 nucleotides. RefSeq lists it as uncharacterized. The record is from RefSeq and is a predicted model, not a curated record. NCBI's taxonomy places the organism in Eukaryota, Metazoa, Chordata, Mammalia, Pholidota, Manidae. The transcript is spliced from 2 exons.